This 231-nucleotide long non-coding RNA is filed under the name Erythranthe guttata (spotted monkey flower). RNAcentral describes it as "long non-coding RNA (EGUT_LNC002168)". The record is from RNAcentral. Lineage: Eukaryota; Viridiplantae; Streptophyta; Magnoliopsida; Lamiales; Phrymaceae.
UUCCAGGUUUCGGACGAAGCGGCGAGACUUUGGAGAGGCGUACCAAUUGUGUGUGAUUUAUGUGUGUAUUCGUGCGUGUUUUGGAGUGGGUGUACGCACAGUGUCUACACAUACAGUAGUACUGUAUAUGUAUAUAUAUAAGUAAAGUAUGAAAGAGUAGACCGAGAAAUGGUGAUGGGGAUUGGGUAGUUUGGUGGGAGAGAUGAUGGAAAUUGGAAGGUAGUGUGGUUG